Molecule: ribosomal RNA, 512 nt
Filed under: uncultured bacterium
Lineage: Bacteria
Description: bacterial SSU rRNA
Rfam family: Bacterial small subunit ribosomal RNA
Source: RNAcentral
GAUGAACGCUAGCGACAGGCUUAACACAUGCAAGUCGAGGGGCAUCAAGUAGAUAGCUUGCUAUUUAUGUUGGCGACCGGCGCACGGGUGAGUAACGCGUAUGCAACCUACCCAUCAGAGGGGGAUAGCCCGGCGAAAGUCGGAUUAAUACCGCAUAAAACAGGGGCUCCGCAUGGAGAUAUUUGUUAAAAAUUUAUUGCUGAUGGAUGGGCAUGCGUUCCAUUAGAUAGUUGGUGAGGUAACGGCUCACCAAGUCUGCGAUGGAUAGGGGUUCUGAGAGGAAGGUCCCCCACACUGGUACUGAGACACGGACCAGACUCCUACGGGAGGCAGCAGUGAGGAAUAUUGGUCAAUGGGCGGGAGCCUGAACCAGCCAAGUCGCGUGAAGGAUGAAGGAUCUAUGGUUCGUAAACUUCUUUUAUUGGGGAAUAACGGGCAGUACGUGUACUGUAGACGAAUGUACCCAUAUGAAUAAGCAUCGGCUAACUCCGUGCCAGCAGCCGCAGUAAAAC